RNAcentral lists this transfer RNA (73 nucleotides) under Clostridiales bacterium. RNAcentral describes it as "tRNA-Lys". It matches the Rfam family "tRNA". Rfam says of the family: Transfer RNA (tRNA) molecules are approximately 80 nucleotides in length. Their secondary structure includes four short double-helical elements and three loops (D, anti-codon, and T loops). Lineage: Bacteria; Bacillati; Bacillota; Clostridia; Eubacteriales. The record is from RNAcentral. RNAcentral also lists the same sequence under 2 other names.
GACCCGUUAGCUCAGUCGGCAGAGCACCUGCCUUUUAAGCAGGGUGUCCGGGGUUCGAAUCCCCGACGGGUCA